UACGUAAUUUGCAAAUCGAUAUAAAUCUUUCUUUUUAAACUUUUAAUCUUAGUUUUAUAAACUCAGUAUUGAUUGCAUGUACAUAAUGCUGGUGCUGAACUAUCGUUUUGUCCAUAGGAGCUAUAAUUAAAGCAUACAGAAAAAUUUCUUAUUUAUUCACCAGAAUCUUUAAUUUUUAAAGAAUCUCUAAUUUAUUCACCAGUGCUUAUUAAUUACAAGCAAUAAAUCACACAUUAUUAGAAUAAUAAUAAAUUAGAUUUCUAUUUAUGCGUGGAAAAUUGCGCCGGGAAUUUCUGUGAUGCCACAUUUUUCUCGCAGCGGCAGCUGCAUCCUUCGCAACUCCGCAUUCAUUUAGGCGAAGUGCAGAGUCUCAAGCAAGAAGGAAGAGAUGCGCUACCACCCCUUUGCAGCGGAUACAAUACGUCAAGUUAGUAAUUUUCUCGGCAAAUUUGUAAAUUUUUUACUCGACUACGGUAACUCAAAAUGGAUUUUAUGGAAACGAUUAAAAUAUUAAUUAGCCACAGUAAGAGAUCUUUACUCAAGUGAGAACACGAGGACAAAAAGAAAAAAGAUGCACCUAAAACAAAUUUACAGAAAAAAUGCUACGCUAUGCUGCAAGACUGUCCCAUGAAUAGAUGAGGAGAAAUAGAAUUGAGGAGUUAGCAGAGCUUGCAACUUUCGUGCAACAUGAAUA
Trachymyrmex septentrionalis is the source of this 694-nucleotide long non-coding RNA. RefSeq lists it as uncharacterized. Lineage: Eukaryota; Metazoa; Arthropoda; Insecta; Hymenoptera; Formicidae. The record is from RefSeq and is a predicted model, not a curated record. The transcript has 4 exons.